GUGAGUCAUCGAAUCUUUGAACGCACAUGGCGCCUUCCAGUAUCCUGGGAGGCAUGCCUGUCCGAGCGUCGUUUCAACCCUCGAGCCCCCGUGGCCCGGCGUUGGGGAUCUGCCACGGCAGGCCCCUAAAACCAGUGGCGGACCCGAAGGGCCCUCUCCUUUGCGCAGUAGCAUCAGCCUCGCAUCGGGAGCCCUCGGCGUCCUGCCUCUAAACCCCCUACAAGCCCGCCUAGCGGCACCAAGGUUGACCUCGGAUCAGGUAGGAAUACCCGCUGAACUUAAGCAUAUCAAUAAGCGGAGGA
Molecule: unclassified non-coding RNA, 302 nt
Filed under: Plectosphaerella sp.
Lineage: Eukaryota; Fungi; Ascomycota; Sordariomycetes; Glomerellales; Plectosphaerellaceae
Description: partial contains 5.8S ribosomal RNA, internal transcribed spacer 2, and large subunit ribosomal RNA
Rfam family: 5.8S ribosomal RNA (bases 1-71)
Source: RNAcentral